This 333-nucleotide ribosomal RNA is filed under the name uncultured bacterium. RNAcentral describes it as "partial 16S ribosomal RNA". It matches the Rfam family "Bacterial small subunit ribosomal RNA", at positions 338 to 668 of the family's 1533-position model. The record is from RNAcentral.
CCUACGGGUGGCUGCAGUGAGGAAUAUUGGUCAAUGGACGAGAGUCUGAACCAGCCAAGUAGCGUGAAGGAUGACUGCCCUAUGGGUUGUAAACUUCUUUUAUAAAGGAAUAAAACGAGGCACGUGUGCAUUUUUGCAUGUACUUUAUGAAUAAGGAUCGGCUAACUACGUGCCAGCAGCCGCGGUUAUACGGAGGAUCCGAGCGUUAUCCGGAUUUAUUGGGUUUAAAGGGAGCGUAGAUGGGUUGUGAAGUCAGUUGUGAAAGUUUGCGGCUCAACCGUAAAAUUGCAAUUGAUACUGGCAGUCUUGAGUACAGUAGAGGUAAGCGGAAUU